AUGUGAGAGGGCCCCGCCCCCCCACCCGCCCGUGGAGUGAAGAACGCCUUCGGGUUAAAACCCCUUUCAGCAGGGACAAAGCGAAAGUCACAGUACCUGCACAAGAACCGCCAGCUAACUACCUGCCACCAGCCUCGCUAACACGUACGCGCCCAUCCGUUGUCCGGAAUUAUUGGACGUAAAAAGCUCCUAUGUGGUGUGCCACGUCCGCUGUCAAAACCCAACGCUUAACCUUGCCCUUGCAUUGGAUACGGGCAGACUAGAGGUAGGUACGGGACAAUGGAAUUCCCGGUGUAGCGGUGAAAUGCUCAGAUAUCAGGAGGAACACCAGUAGCGAAGGCCGUGAUCUGCGCCAAUGCUGACGCUGAGGAGCGAAAGCCUGAGGAGCGAACACGAUUAGAUACCCUGGUAGUCCACGCCGUAAACGGUGGGCACUACGUGUGGGGACUUUUCAACGGUUUCCGCGCCGCAGCUAACGCAUUAAGUGCCCCGCCUGGGGAG
This 501-nucleotide ribosomal RNA is filed under the name uncultured bacterium. Its description in RNAcentral is "bacterial SSU rRNA". It matches the Rfam family "Bacterial small subunit ribosomal RNA", at positions 371 to 880 of the family's 1533-position model. The record is from RNAcentral.